This 2376-nucleotide long non-coding RNA is filed under the name Setaria viridis. RNAcentral's name for it is "long non-coding RNA (SVIR_LNC001248)". Lineage: Eukaryota; Viridiplantae; Streptophyta; Magnoliopsida; Poales; Poaceae. The record is from RNAcentral.
CCAAUACUUACUGGUAACAAUGGACAGGACAAAAGUAGUACCAACAUAUAAUCAGCGAGAUGGGUUGUCAGAACAGCGAAUAGACACUUGGUUUGUAAACAAUGAAAGUAUUAUCCAUUAACAGCUUCAUCAAUGAGCAGGUCUCACUUAUAUCUUCAUUCAAUCAAUUUAGUUUCAAGGAAAAUUACCAAUUAGUUUGUAUGAGCCAACUAAAUGAGAGAUAAAAAAGUGUAACACAUUUUUUAAAUUGCCAUCCACUAGCACAGUAACAGUGCAAUGAUCACAUUUAAAACCUCAGCCCUUGUGACACACAUGAGAAAUCUGCCAAACAACACAUCUACACCAAAUAGACUGUCUGGUCCACAUAGCUCAUGAUGAGCUUGCAUGGCUAACAAAUAACACAACAUGCAUCAUCGAUGUAUAAAGAGGGCAAUAUUAAUCUUUUUUCCUAAGUGACUGGCUAUUUUGCAUGGUAGGCAAAAGUAAAUAUCAAGAUGUGUAAGCACAUCAAAAAGGCACGUGCAUUUCCAUUGUGGUUUCACGGGUGAGAGGCAACUAUUCUUGUUUGGGAAGUUAGCCCCGGUAGGAAAUUCUGGGUUCAUAACAACCUGAGUACCGACCCAUCCACAGAGCUAUCACUAAGGUCCUAAGGCAAAGAGAUAUUGACUCUAUUUACUAACCCAUAACCACAAUAUCUCAAUGUCAACUAACAGAUUCCUAUAGUAUAUGCAUAGAUGACAAAUAUGCCGCAUGGACCAAUGCACAGAAAAGGUCCAAAGCAUAAAAAAUGCACUAAGCGACAAAAGUACCAACAAUUGAAACAUGUUUCCCAAGUGAACAAUAAAGCACUUUAAGUCCUCAACAAUUUCCCAAUCAAGAAUCAACAGAUCCAAGCUUAUGCAAAUGAACCAUAGACAAAACUCGACAGAACAGACAGAUUCACAAAUUCAGUUUUAAACUAAAAGGUGAAUGGCCAUUGUCCAUAUCUGUAUUAACACAAAUCAGAACGGUUGAUAGAAUGAUGGGUUUAACAGAAAGUGGCCAGAAAUUGGAAUCAUGUAAAGCCUACAGCAUUGACCGCCACUAUGCAUCCUAACCACCAAAGCAAGCAUAUAUUAUACGGCGCUGCUAGUGCCCGGACGUCCAAUGGGAAAUUUUCCAUCGGAUGCUCCGACGAAACAUUAAAAAUUACCUAGUGCAACAUCAGCGGUCACUGUUUGCAACAUGAAAAAUAAUGUGUAAAAAUGACUACGUCGUUCGACUCUAGGAUAGAAAAUUCCCGCCACAACAUGAACACUAUGUUUCAUGCAACAUUCACUAUAAAACAUACAGAAAUAAUAGUUGCAACAUCAAUGAUUAACUAUUGCAACAUAUGUCGGAGCAUCCGAUUUUUUUUAAGAUUCCGGACGUCUGAUCUGUAGCAUUACCGUAUGUUAUAACAUGACCCAAACAAUUUGCAAACUUUGCCAUAACAACAUUAUCCAUGCAAGUAAACAAAUUAAGCGUAAUUAUAAUCUCGUUUACACAGUGUAUAACAUGAUACUGCCAUUUUUACAUUAUCUGUGCCAGAAUGUCCAUCUCCAUAGUCCAUACCCAAAUAGCAAAUAGAUGAACACACCAACCCAUCAAGAUCAACAGAACAUACUCUGAACCGACAAUACAGGUGGAAUCAGAGAUGGAAACAUAUCUAGUACCUUCACUAGAUACAAUUAGUUUCAAGGAAAUUCACCAAUUAUUUUAUUCCAGCCAACUAAAUAGCGACAGCUGAUAAUGAUACAAUAAUUCUAGCCCCCACCCCAGUGACUGGCUAGUUUGCAUGACCAAUGAAACAUUGGCAGUUUCUAUUUAUUAAACCUAACUACCAUAUCUCAAUGUAAUGCAUAGGUGACAAAUAUGCUACAAGGAGAAUGCAUUAAAAAGGUCCAAGUGUAAGAAAUGCAGUACACGACAAAGGUACUAACUACUGAAACACCAUGUUGCGCAAGCGAAGAAAAAAGCACUUUUUAAGUCUUCAAAAACUCAACAAUCAAAAAUCGACAGAUCAAGCAUGUGCAAAUGAACCAUAGACAAAACUCGAUGAAACAGACAGAAUUACCAAUUUGCUAUAAACGGAAAAGUGAAUGGUCAUUGUCCAUAUCUGUGCAACCAUGAAAGGUUAUAAACAUGGGUCUAACGGUAAGUGCCCACUGCCCAGGAAGCAGAAUCAUGUAAAGCCUACAACACUCCUCACCACUUGCAAACUUCGCCACAGCAACCUUAUCCAUACAAAAUCCAUACAUAUAUAAAGGCGCAAGACAAGUUAUCCGAACUUACAAUCUCAUCUGCACAAGAUAGUAACAUAUACUGCCAUAUUUACAGGACGUGCCCAAAAUGUCC